This 498-nucleotide ribosomal RNA is filed under the name uncultured bacterium. RNAcentral's name for it is "partial 16S ribosomal RNA". It matches the Rfam family "Bacterial small subunit ribosomal RNA", at positions 30 to 523 of the family's 1533-position model. The record is from RNAcentral.
AUUGAACGCUGGCGGCAUGCCUUACACAUGCAAGUCGAACGGUAACAGGUCUUCGGAUGCUGACGAGUGGCGAACGGGUGAGUAAUACAUCGGAACGUGCCUAGUGGUGGGAGAUAACUACUCGAAAGAGUGGCUAAUACCGCAUGAGAUCUACGGAUGAAAGCAGGGGAGCGCAAGACCUUGUGCUACUAGAGCGGCCGGUGGCAGAUUAGGUAGUUGGUGGGAUAAAAGCUUACCAAGCCGACGAUCUGUAGCUGGUCUGAGAGGACGAUCAGCCACACUGGGACUGAGACACGGCCCAGACUCCUACGGGAGGCAGCAGUGGGGAAUUUUGGACAAUGGGCGCAAGCCUGAUCCAGCAAUGCCGCUUGCAGGAUGAAGGCCUUCGGGUUGUAAACUGCUUUUGUACGGAACGAAAAGCCCCGGGUUAAUACCCUGGGGUCAUGACGGUACCGUAAGAAUAAGCACCGGCUAACUACGUGCCAGCAGCCGCAGUAA